AGGCUUGAGCUGGAUGAUCAAAGGGAGGAAAAGAAGCCAGGGGAAUUCUGCCAUGAGAAGGAAUGGCGCUGCGAGUAGGAAAGUAGAACCACGCCCGCUUCUUCCCAUGGGCUCCAUGCCGGUCCAGUCCAGAAUGGCUAAGCUCAGAUCAAGGGUUCCUAAGAGGCAGGAGGUUCCCCCACAAAUAUAUGGAGAAAAGAGAUGUGCCCACUCAGAACAGACCCCCUGAGCCACCACAGCCAACAACAUUUUGGCCUCUGAGAAUCAAGAAGAAGCUAGACCCACAUUCUGCGAGCUGAGGAGUACAUUUUCCUUCCAGACCAGCUUGUCCAUCUCAGCUGACUUCACACAGUGAACCC
Long non-coding RNA from Suricata suricatta (meerkat), 359 nucleotides. RefSeq lists it as uncharacterized. The transcript has 3 exons. The record is from RefSeq and is a predicted model, not a curated record. NCBI's taxonomy places the organism in Eukaryota, Metazoa, Chordata, Mammalia, Carnivora, Herpestidae.